CAAAUAAAGAGGUUGCUUAUUUGAAAGACUUCUCUAGUCGAAAUAAUACUCAAAUUGAGCUUCCUGCUUUACAAGUACUUGAACUUCGUCUUAUUGGGGACAGAACCAUUGUUGGUAGUUAUGAUGUGAUAUGUCCAUCUUUAACAAAACUAUCAUUGGAUAUUGGGAGAUAUGUUGGGUUUUUCAACAUAAAUUGUUCAAGCGAUGCUUCAGAAGCUACAAAAAGGGAUUCUAUUGCAAUCAAGAUAUCGAACUCAGAUUUUGAUCCGCCGGUUGAAAGUGUUGAAUGUCUUUCAAAACAACCACAUGGUUUGAACUUGAUUAUGAC
Molecule: small RNA, 328 nt
Filed under: Vigna angularis var. angularis
Lineage: Eukaryota; Viridiplantae; Streptophyta; Magnoliopsida; Fabales; Fabaceae
Description: Non-protein coding transcript
Source: RNAcentral